AGUAACGCGUGGGUAACCUGCCUCAUACAGGGGGAUAACAGUUAGAAAUGACUGCUAAUACCGCAUAAGCGCACAGUGCUGCAUGGCACAGUGUGAAAAACUCCGGUGGUAUGAGAUGGACCCGCGUCUGAUUAGCUAGUUGGUGGGGUAACGGCCUACCAAGGCGACGAUCAGUAGCCGGCCUGAGAGGGUGAACGGCCACAUUGGGACUGAGACACGGCCCAAACUCCUACGGGAGGCAGCAUGC
RNAcentral lists this ribosomal RNA (247 nucleotides) under uncultured bacterium. RNAcentral's name for it is "partial 16S ribosomal RNA". It matches the Rfam family "Bacterial small subunit ribosomal RNA", at positions 109 to 353 of the family's 1533-position model. The record is from RNAcentral.